UUCAUAGCAAUUUAAAUAGUCAGCAAGUAAAAACCAUAGUUUAAAAACUAAAGAAUCUGGCGGUGUUUUAUAAAAUCAGGGGAGCUUGUAUCUUAAUAUGAUAAUCCACAAAUAUCUUACCAUACUUUGAACUAUAGUCAGUUUGUAUAUUGCCGUUAAAGUUUAACUUAAAAAGUCAAACAACUCUAUUUAUUCUAAAUCAAUUAUAUCUCAGGUCAAAAUACAGCUGAUAGUAUGGAGACAAUGAGCUACAUCUAAAACAUUAUAUAUUUAUAUUACUAACACAAAUCUACAGAACUUGACAGUAAUUAACUUUUACUAAAAAUUUAUCAACCUUAAUAAAACAUGCACAUAUCGCCCGUCACUCUCACUGAAAAAUG
Molecule: ribosomal RNA, 380 nt
Filed under: Olavius algarvensis
Lineage: Eukaryota; Metazoa; Annelida; Clitellata; Tubificida; Naididae
Description: partial 12S ribosomal RNA
Source: RNAcentral